This 130-nucleotide ribosomal RNA is filed under the name uncultured bacterium. RNAcentral describes it as "partial 16S ribosomal RNA". It matches the Rfam family "Bacterial small subunit ribosomal RNA", at positions 338 to 485 of the family's 1533-position model. The record is from RNAcentral.
CCUACGGGAGGCAGCAGUGGGGAAUCUUAGACAAUGGGGGCAACCCUGAUCUAGCCAUGCCGCGUGAGUGAUGAAGGCCUUAGGGUCGUAAAGCUCUUUCGCCUGUGAUGAUAAUGACAGUAGCAGGUAA